This 886-nucleotide ribosomal RNA is filed under the name Firmicutes bacterium 00YDJ. Its description in RNAcentral is "bacterial SSU rRNA". It matches the Rfam family "Bacterial small subunit ribosomal RNA", at positions 44 to 909 of the family's 1533-position model. The record is from RNAcentral. Lineage: Bacteria; Bacillati; Bacillota.
GGUGCUAUACAUGCAGUCGAGCGGAGUUUUGAAAAGCUUGCUUUUCAAAACUUAGCGGCGGACGGGUGAGUAACACGUGGGCAACCUGCCCUUGAGACGGGGAUAACUCCGGGAAACCGGAGCUAAUACCGGAUAACACAUAUCUUCGCAUGAGGAUAUGUUAGAAGGUGGCUUUUAGCUACCACUCAAGGAUGGGCCCGCGGCGCAUUAGCUAGUUGGUGAGGUAACGGCUCACCAAGGCGACGAUGCGUAGCCGACCUGAGAGGGUGAUCGGCCACACUGGGACUGAGACACGGCCCAGACUCCUACGGGAGGCAGCAGUAGGGAAUCUUCCGCAAUGGACGAAAGUCUGACGGAGCAACGCCGCGUGAGUGAUGAAGGUUUUCGGAUCGUAAAGCUCUGUUGUUAGGGAAGAACAAGUAUCUGUUGAAUAAGCAGGUACCUUGACGGUACCUAACCAGAAAGCCACGGCUAACUACGUGCCAGCAGCCGCGGUAAUACGUAGGUGGCAAGCGUUGUCCGGAAUUAUUGGGCGUAAAGCGCGCGCAGGCGGUUCCUUAAGUCUGAUGUGAAAGCCCACGGCUCAACCGUGGAGGGUCAUUGGAAACUGGGGAACUUGAGUGCAGAAGAGGAGAGCGGAAUUCCACGUGUAGCGGUGAAAUGCGUAGAGAUGUGGAGGAACACCAGUGGCGAAGGCGGCUCUCUGGUCUGUAACUGACGCUGAGGCGCGAAAGCGUGGGGAGCGAACAGGAUUAGAUACCCUGGUAGUCCACGCCGUAAACGAUGAGUGCUAAGUGUUAGAGGGUUUCCGCCCUUUAGUGCUGCAGCAAACGCAUUAAGCACUCCGCCUGGGGGAGUACGGUCGCAAGACUGAAACUCAAAUGUA